RNAcentral lists this ribosomal RNA (164 nucleotides) under Porophyllum linaria. RNAcentral describes it as "5.8S ribosomal RNA". It matches the Rfam family "5.8S ribosomal RNA". From Rfam's summary of the family: 5.8S ribosomal RNA (5.8S rRNA) is a component of the large subunit of the eukaryotic ribosome. It is transcribed by RNA polymerase I as part of the 45S precursor that also contains 18S and 28S rRNA. RNAcentral also lists the same sequence under 7 other names. The record is from RNAcentral. Lineage: Eukaryota; Viridiplantae; Streptophyta; Magnoliopsida; Asterales; Asteraceae.
UAAACGACUCUCGGCAACGGAUAUCUCGGCUCACGCAUCGAUGAAGAACGUAGCAAAAUGCGAUACUUGGUGUGAAUUGCAGAAUCCCGUGAACCAUCGAGUUUUUGAACGCAAGUUGCGCCCAAAGCCAUCCGGUUGAGGGCACGUCUGCCUGGGCGUCACGC